GACGAACGCUGGCGGCGUGCUUAACACAUGCAAGUCGAACGGAAAGGCCCUGCUUUUGUGGGGUGCUCGAGUGGCGAACGGGUGAGUAACACGUGAGUAACCUGCCCUUGACUUUGGGAUAACUUCAGGAAACUGGGGCUAAUACCGGAUAGGAGCUCCUGCUGCAUGGUGGGGGUUGGAAAGUUUCGGCGGUUGGGGAUGGACUCGCGGCUUAUCAGCUUGUUGGUGGGGUAGUGGCUUACCAAGGCUUUGACGGGUAGCCGGCCUGAGAGGGUGACCGGCCACAUUGGGACUGGGAUACGGCCCAGACUCCUACGGGAGGCAGCAGUGGGGAAUAUUGCACAAUGGGAGGAAGCCUGAUGCAGCAACGCCGCGUGCGGGAUGACGGCCUUCGGGUUGUAAACCGCUUUCGCCUGUGACGAAGCGUGAGUGACGGUAAUGGGUAAAGAAGCACCGGCUAGCUACGUG
This 468-nucleotide ribosomal RNA is filed under the name uncultured bacterium. RNAcentral's name for it is "partial 16S ribosomal RNA". It matches the Rfam family "Bacterial small subunit ribosomal RNA", at positions 28 to 507 of the family's 1533-position model. The record is from RNAcentral.